Molecule: long non-coding RNA, 678 nt
Filed under: Homo sapiens (human)
Lineage: Eukaryota; Metazoa; Chordata; Mammalia; Primates; Hominidae
Description: HSALNT0002650
Source: RNAcentral
CAACUCUGGAGUCCUCUGAGAGAGCCACCAAGGAGGAGCAGGGGAGCGACGGCCGGGGCAGAAGUUGAGACCACCCAGCAGAGGAGCUAGGCCAGUCCAUCUGCAUUUGUCACCCAAGAACUCUUACCAUGAAGACCCUCCUACUGUUGGCAGUGAUCAUGAUCUUUGCUGCUGUGUCACUCAUGACUGUUGCUACAAACGUCUGGAGAAACGUGGAUGUGGCACCAAAUUUCUGAGCUACAAGUUUAGCAACUCGGGGAGCAGAAUCACCUGUGCAAAACAGGACUCCUGCAGAAGUCAACUGUGUGAGUGUGAUAAGGCUGCUGCCACCUGUUUUGCUAGAAACAAGACGACCUACAAUAAAAAGUACCAGUACUAUUCCAAUAAACACUGCAGAGGGAGCACCCCUCGUUGCUGAGUCCCCUCUUCCCUGGAAACCUUCCACCCAGUGCUGAAUUUCCCUCUCUCAUACCCUCCCUCCCUACCCUAACCAAGUUCCUUGGCCAUGCAGAAAGCAUCCCUCACCCAUCCUAGAGGCCAGGCAGGAGCCCUUCUAUACCCACCCAGAAUGAGACAUCCAGCAGAUUUCCAGCCUUCUACUGCUCUCCUCCACCUCAACUCCGUGCUUAACCAAAGAAGCUGUACUCCGGGGGGUCUCUUCUGAAUAAAGCAAUUAGC